Molecule: long non-coding RNA, 791 nt
Organism: Tachysurus vachellii
Lineage: Eukaryota; Metazoa; Chordata; Actinopteri; Siluriformes; Bagridae
Exons: 3
Source: RefSeq, a predicted model, not a curated record
AUCGUAUUGUUCUUCCCUUCAGCUAUGAUAAAGACACAUUUCUGUCCACACCCUAUAAGCCUGGUGCGUCUAAACCUCGGUUUAUCGGUUUCAAGCGUCAGCUCACAAAGUGUGUCCAACAAAAGAAGUAGAAGAGCUUGAUGAGACCACCCUGUCUGCCUCAGAAUUGAUGGAAGCAAGGUGUAGAAAAAAGACAACAGUGCAUAAACAACAUUACUUAUUGCUAUCAUAAAGAAUGACUUGAAAACACUUUUUUUACUUGUUUACGUUUCCCUAAAACAACCUUGUACAUGUGUCGAAAAUGGCUAUUAAAAUCUAUUUUUUUUACAGUAAUUGUUCAUUUGUAGCAUUAUAUAAGCUACCUGCUACUUUUCUCUUGUUUUUGUUUUCAGUAUGUCAUCACUAAAUCUGAAUGAGGAAACAGUCAGUGUGGAUGACUUCAGUGACAUCCAAAAUGCUACGCAAGUUACACUGUGUAUAUUUUUAUGUCAUGCAUCCAAGCACAGUUUAUGUACCAGUUUUAAUAUAUUAUAUGUUUGGUGUAGCAUUGACUGGGAGGAUCCAACAUGGUAUCUGGAUGAGGACGAGGGCCAAUGUGUCACUGAGACACUGAUAGUGAUGAUCCAGAUUACAAUCCACACUUUUGUGUCGAGCUGGUGGGGCUAUUACAUCACAGAAAGCACUUGAUGAUAUUCCUGAGAGGAGCAUAGAAAAAAACAGUUCCUGACAUAGCAGAUCUGGAUGACGAUGCUGCAGCUGCAGACUUGCCACCUUUUCCUGACCAAAUCAAA